RNAcentral lists this long non-coding RNA (199 nucleotides) under Solanum tuberosum (potato). Its description in RNAcentral is "long non-coding RNA (STUB_LNC005026)". Lineage: Eukaryota; Viridiplantae; Streptophyta; Magnoliopsida; Solanales; Solanaceae. The record is from RNAcentral.
CUAUUGAAUUUAAAUACGAAUGAAUAUCCCUGAUGCCUUUGUGCUCUACAAAAUUGAAAGCAUAAUUAUGCCUACAUAUAGCCAAUGACAUCUUCUCUCGAUAAGUUUUUUGAUCUAUUGGCUCAUUUUGACCCUCUUUAGCCUUAUCCGGGUUAUGUUUCUCCAAAUGACGCUUUAGAUUUGUUGUUCCAAAUGUAGG